GAUGAAGAACGUAGCGAAAUGCGAUAAGUAAUGUGAAUUGCAGAAUUCAGUGAAUCAUCGAAUCUUUGAACGCACAUUGCGCCCCCUGGUAUUCCGGGGGGCAUGCCUGUUCGAGCGUCAUUUCACCACUCAAGCCUCGCUUGGUAUUGGGCAACGCGGUCCGCCGCGUGCCUCAAAUCGUCCGGCUGGGUCUUCUGUCCCCUAAGCGUUGUGGAAACUAUUCGCUAAAGGGUGUUCGGGAGGCUACGCCGUAAAACAACCCCAUUUCUAAGGUUGACCUCGGAUCAGGUAGGGAUACCCGCUGAACUUAAGCAUAUCAAUAAGCGGAG
This 329-nucleotide unclassified non-coding RNA is filed under the name soil metagenome. RNAcentral describes it as "partial contains 5.8S ribosomal RNA, internal transcribed spacer 2, and large subunit ribosomal RNA". The stretch from base 1 to 120 matches the Rfam family "5.8S ribosomal RNA", at positions 35 to 154 of the family's 154-position model. The record is from RNAcentral.